This 557-nucleotide ribosomal RNA is filed under the name Amanita amanitoides. Its description in RNAcentral is "SSU rRNA". It matches the Rfam family "Bacterial small subunit ribosomal RNA", at positions 379 to 951 of the family's 1533-position model. The record is from RNAcentral. Lineage: Eukaryota; Fungi; Basidiomycota; Agaricomycetes; Agaricales; Amanitaceae.
AAGAGUGAACUAGCUAACUGAAAUCACAUAAGAUAUAAAUGUUUAAAUGUGAUAAGGUAAGGGAGAAAUUUGAUGUUACCUUACUAUUAGUGUUGUCCAAAACUGGUGCCAGAAGACUCGGUAAGACCAGAAACGCAAACGUUAAUCGUCCUAAUCAGGCGUAAAGGGUUUGUAGGCUGCUUUAACUAUGUUUAUUAAAAAUAGCUCUGAUAAAAAUCAGUUUAAUAGAUAUACUAUAAAAGCUAGAAUCAAAUUGAGGAUAAGCCGAAUAAUACUUAGAGUAGGGAUGAUAUCCAUAGAUACUAAGGGGAAUACUAAAGGUGAAAACUUUUAUCUACUAUUGAUUGACGCUGAGAAACGAAGGUGAGAAUAGGAAAUAGGAUUAGAUACCCAGAUACCUCUCACUGUCAACGAUGAAUGGUGGUUUGUUAGUUUUAAUAAAAACUGAUAACGAUGUUAACGCGAUAACCAUUCCGCCUUGCGAGUACGGUUGCAAAACUGAAACCAAAAAAAUUAGUCGGUCUCGAAGCAAACGAAGUGGAGCAUGUUAUUUAAUU